AGGGCUGUAGCUCAGCGGAAGAGUGCUUGCUUUGCAUGCAGAACUCUGCAUGUUCAAUCCCUGGCUCCUGCCUGA
Podarcis lilfordi (Lilford's wall lizard) is the source of this 75-nucleotide non-coding RNA. The record is from the annotation of a GenBank genome assembly. Lineage: Eukaryota; Metazoa; Chordata; Lepidosauria; Squamata; Lacertidae.